UCUCAUUCAAUUCAGUAAAAAUAUAAUAUUUUAAUCAUUACAGCCUGCUGACAGUACCGUAUUUGCUUUUGUGGGUUUAACAGAAAAACAGGACCGGCACCACAGUAAAAAUUAGGUGGCAGGUUUAGAAAUUUCAGAGUACAUAUAUAAUAAGAUAACCUUAAUUUGCAUAGCAUCGAUAAUUUUUGCCACUGAUAAUCUGUAGCAUGGAACAAAGCAGCUCAAAUAGAA
This 231-nucleotide long non-coding RNA is filed under the name Hordeum vulgare. Its description in RNAcentral is "long non-coding RNA (HVUL_LNC011069)". The record is from RNAcentral. Lineage: Eukaryota; Viridiplantae; Streptophyta; Magnoliopsida; Poales; Poaceae.